This 142-nucleotide ribosomal RNA is filed under the name uncultured eukaryote. Its description in RNAcentral is "partial 18S ribosomal RNA". It matches the Rfam family "Eukaryotic small subunit ribosomal RNA", at positions 1299 to 1458 of the family's 1831-position model. The record is from RNAcentral.
UGGUGGAGUGAUUUGUCUGGUUAAUUCCGUUAACGAACGAGACCUCGACCUGCUAAAUAGUUCGGCGAAUCCUUCGGGAUUCGUUCGUGACUUCUUAGAGGGACUAUCGGUGUGUAGCCGAUGGAAGUUCGAGGCAAUAACA